Molecule: ribosomal RNA, 643 nt
Filed under: Salmonella enterica
Lineage: Bacteria; Pseudomonadati; Pseudomonadota; Gammaproteobacteria; Enterobacterales; Enterobacteriaceae
Description: bacterial LSU rRNA
Rfam family: Bacterial large subunit ribosomal RNA
Source: RNAcentral
GGGCGUUAAGUUGCAGGGUAUAGACCCGAAACCCGGUGAUCUAGCCAUGGGCAGGUUGAAGGUUGGGUAACACUAACUGGAGGACCGAACCGACUAAUGUUGAAAAAUUAGCGGAUGACCUGUGGCUGGGGGUGAAAGGCCAAUCAAACCGGGAGAUAGCUGGUUCUCCCCGAAAGCUAUUUAGGUAGCGCCUCGUGAAUUCAUCUCCGGGGGUAGAGCACUGUUUCGGCUAGGGGGCCAUCCCGGCUUACCAACCCGAUGCAAACUGCGAAUACCGGAGAAUGUUAUCACGGGAGACACACGGCGGGUGCUAACGUCCGUCGUGAAGAGGGAAACAACCCAGACCGCCAGCUAAGGUCCCAAAGUCAUGGUUAAGUGGGAAACGAUGUGGGAAGGCCCAGACAGCCAGGAUGUUGGCUUAGAAGCAGCCAUCAUUUAAAGAAAGCGUAAUAGCUCACUGGUCGAGUCGGCCUGCGCGGAAGAUGUAACGGGGCUAAACCAUGCACCGAAGCUGCGGCAGCGACGCUUAUGCGUUGUUGGGUAGGGGAGCGUUCUGUAAGCCUGCGAAGGUGGCCUGUGAGGGUUGCUGGAGGUAUCAGAAGUGCGAAUGCUGACAUAAGUAACGAUAAAGCGGGUGAAAAGC